This 434-nucleotide ribosomal RNA is filed under the name uncultured bacterium. RNAcentral describes it as "bacterial SSU rRNA". It matches the Rfam family "Bacterial small subunit ribosomal RNA", at positions 355 to 786 of the family's 1533-position model. The record is from RNAcentral.
UGAGGAAUAUUGGUCAAUGGGCGCGAGCCUGAACCAGCCAAGUAGCGUGAAGGAUGACUGCCCUAUGGGUUGUAAACUUCUUUUAUAGGGGAAUAAAGUUGGCCACGUGUGGCCUUUUGUAUGUACCUUAUGAAUAAGGAUCGGCUAACUCCGUGCCAGCAGCCGCGGUAAUACGGAGGAUCCGAGCGUUAUCCGGAUUUAUUGGGUUUAAAGGGAGCGUAGAUGGGUUGUUAAGUCAGUUGUGAAAGUUUGCGGCUCAACCGUAAAAUUGCAAUUGAUACUGGCGUCCUUGAGUACAGUUGAGGUGGGCGGAAUUCGUGGUGUAGCGGUGAAAUGCUUAGAUAUCACGAAGAACUCCGAUCGCGAAGGCAGCUUGCCGGACCGUAACUGACGCUGAUGCUCGAAAGUGCGGGUAUCAAACAGGAUUAGAUACC